RNAcentral lists this non-coding RNA (30 nucleotides) under Mus musculus (house mouse). Lineage: Eukaryota; Metazoa; Chordata; Mammalia; Rodentia; Muridae. The record is from RNAcentral.
UGCUAUAUGUACUGCUAGAACCACAAGUUC